Molecule: ribosomal RNA, 449 nt
Filed under: uncultured bacterium
Lineage: Bacteria
Description: partial 16S ribosomal RNA
Rfam family: Bacterial small subunit ribosomal RNA
Source: RNAcentral
GUGGGGAAUAUUGGACAAUGGGCGAAAGCCUGAUCCAGCCAUGCCGCGUGUGUGAAGAAGGUCUUCGGAUUGUAAAGCACUUUAAGUUGGGAGGAAGGGUAGUAACCUAAUACGUUGCUACUUUGACGUUACCGACAGAAUAAGCACCGGCUAACUUCGUGCCAGCAGCCGCGGUAAUACGAAGGGUGCAAGCGUUAAUCGGAAUUACUGGGCGUAAAGCGCGCGUAGGUGGUUCAGUAAGUUGGAAGUGAAAUCCCCGGGCUCAACCUGGGAACUGCUUUCAAAACUGCUGAGCUAGAGUACGGUAGAGGGUGGUGGAAUUUCCUGUGUAGCGGUGAAAUGCGUAGAUAUAGGAAGGAACACCAGUGGCGAAGGCGACCACCUGGACUGAUACUGACACUGAGGUGCGAAAGCGUGGGGAGCAAACAGGAUUAGAAACCCCGGUAGUC